GCUAACUACGUGCCAGCAGCCGCGGUAAUACGUAGGUGGCAAGCGUUAUCCGGAUUUAUUGGGCGUAAAGCGAGCGCAGGCGGUUUUUUAAGUCUGAUGUGAAAGCCCUCGGCUUAACCGAGGAAGUGCAUCGGAAACUGGGAAACUUGAGUGCAGAAGAGGACAGUGGAACUCCAUGUGUAGCGGUGAAAUGCGUAGAUAUAUGGAAGAACACCAGUGGCGAAGGCGGCUGUCUGGUCUGUAACUGACGCUGAGGCUCGAAAGCAUGGGUAGCGAACAGGAUUAGAUACCCUGGUAGUCCAUGCCGUAAACGAUGAAUGCUAGGUGUUGGAGGGUUUCCGCCCUUCAGUGCCGCAGCUAACGCAUUAAGCAUUCCGCCUGGGGAGUACGACCGCAAGGUUGAAACUCAAAGGAAUUGACGGGGGCCCGCACAAGCGGUGGAGCAUGUGGUUUAAUUCGAAGCAACGCGAAGAACCUUACCAGGUCUUGACAUCUUUUGAUCACCUGAGAGAUCAGGUUUCCCCUUCGGGGGCAAAAUGACAGGUGGUGCAUGGUUGUCGUCAGCUCGUGUCGUGAGAUGUUGGGUUAAGUCCCGCAACGAGCGCAACCCUUAUGACUAGUUGCCAGCAUUUAGUUGGGCACUCUAGUAAGACUGCCGGUGACAAACCGGAGGAAGGUGGGGAUGACGUCAAAUCAUCAUGCCCCUUAUGACCUGGGCUACACACGUGCUACAAUGGAUGGUACAACGAGUUGCGAGACCGCGAGGUCAAGCUAAUCUCUUAAAGCCAUUCUCAGUUCGGACUGUAGGCUGCAACUCGCCUACACGAAGUCGGAAUCGCUAGUAAUCGCGGAUCAGCACGCCGCGGUGAAUACGUUCCCGGGCCUUGUACACACCGCCCGUCACACCAUGAGAGUUUGUAACACCCGAAGCCGGUGGCGUAAC
RNAcentral lists this ribosomal RNA (943 nucleotides) under Lacticaseibacillus rhamnosus. Its description in RNAcentral is "bacterial SSU rRNA". It matches the Rfam family "Bacterial small subunit ribosomal RNA", at positions 496 to 1439 of the family's 1533-position model. Lineage: Bacteria; Bacillati; Bacillota; Bacilli; Lactobacillales; Lactobacillaceae. The record is from RNAcentral.